UUGAAAGGGAAACGAUUGAAGUCAGUCGUACCAGCGGGAAAUCAACCUUUCGAGUGGGGGUUUUGGAGUUUUGAAGAGUUUCAAAACCUUUGAGAUUUCAAAAAUCUCGCUCUUUUGGUGUACUUUCUCGUGGGUAGGUUAACAUCGAUUUUGAUCAUCAUAAAAAGAUUGGAGGAAUGUAGCUUCGAUCUUGUAUUGAAGUGUUAUAGCCUUUGGUAAAUGUGAUGAUUAGGAUCGAGGAUUGCAACGAAUACCCUUUUGGGCUAUCCGCCUGAUCUCUGAUACGUGGCCUUGGUAUCGAAAGCUUGCUUAUGGUAUUAAGGUAUUACGGUCAAAAGGUUAGAACGGAUUACAUUCGUUAAGGAUGUUGACGUA
This 375-nucleotide ribosomal RNA is filed under the name uncultured Glomeromycotina. Its description in RNAcentral is "LSU rRNA". Lineage: Eukaryota; Fungi; Glomeromycota. The record is from RNAcentral.